UGCCACCAACAUCCACAUCUGCAUGGA
This 27-nucleotide non-coding RNA is filed under the name Mus musculus (house mouse). Lineage: Eukaryota; Metazoa; Chordata; Mammalia; Rodentia; Muridae. The record is from RNAcentral.